CCUACGGGUGGCAGCAGUAGGGAAUAUUGCUCAAUGGGGGAAACCCUGAAGCAGCAACGCCGCGUGGAGGAUGAAGGUUUUCGGAUUGUAAACUCCUUUUGUUAGAGAAGAUAAUGACGGUAUCUAACGAAUAAGCACCGGAUAACUCCGUGCCAGCAGCCGCGGUAAUACGGAGGGUGCAAGCGUUACUCGGAAUCACUGGGCGUAAAGAGCGCGUAGGCGGGAUAGCAAGUCAGAUGUGAAAUCCUAGGGCUUAACCAUAGAACUGCAUUUGAAACUGUUAUUCUAGAGUAUGGGAGAGGUAGGUGGAAUUCUUGGUGUAGGGGUAAAAUCCGUAGAGAUCAAGAGGAAUACUCAUUGCGAAGGCGACCUGCUAGAACAUAACUGACGCUGAGGCGCGAAAGCGUGGGGAGCAAACAGGAUUAGAUACCCCAGUAGUC
Molecule: ribosomal RNA, 440 nt
Filed under: uncultured bacterium
Lineage: Bacteria
Description: partial 16S ribosomal RNA
Rfam family: Bacterial small subunit ribosomal RNA
Source: RNAcentral